RNAcentral lists this ribosomal RNA (508 nucleotides) under uncultured bacterium. RNAcentral describes it as "partial 16S ribosomal RNA". It matches the Rfam family "Bacterial small subunit ribosomal RNA", at positions 899 to 1397 of the family's 1533-position model. The record is from RNAcentral.
ACUCAAAUGAAUUGACGGGGGCCUGCACAAGCGGUGGAGUAUGUGGCUUAAUUCGAUGCAACGCGAAGAACCUUACCUGGCCUUGACAUGCACGUAGUAGAAGGGUGAAAGCCCGACGAGGUAGCAAUACCAGCGUGCACAGGUGCUGCAUGGCUGUCGUCAGCUCGUGUCGUGAGAUGUUGGGUUAAGUCCCGCAACGAGCGCAACCCUUAUGUCCUGUUGCAAUCCGAACGAGAGUUUGGAGCACUCUGGACAGACUGCCUCGCUUAAACGAGGAGGAAGGUGGGGAUGACGUCAAGUCAGUAUGGCCCUUACGGCCAGGGCUGCACACGUACUACAAUGCUCGGCACAAAGGGAAGCAAGACUGUAAAGUGGAGCAAAUCCCCAAAAACCGAGCCCAGUUCAGAUUGUCGUCUGCAACUCGACGGCAUGAAGCUGGAAUCGCUAGUAAUGGCGCAUCAGCUACGGCGCCGUGAAUACGUUCCCAGGCCUUGUACACACCGCCCGU